This 301-nucleotide ribosomal RNA is filed under the name uncultured bacterium. RNAcentral describes it as "partial 16S ribosomal RNA". It matches the Rfam family "Bacterial small subunit ribosomal RNA", at positions 509 to 807 of the family's 1533-position model. The record is from RNAcentral.
CAGUCGCCGCGGUAAUACGUAGGGUGCAAGCGUUAAUCGGAAUUACUGGGCGUAAAGCGUGCGCAGGCGGCUAUGCAAGACAGAUGUGAAAUCCCCGGGCUCAACCUGGGAACUGCAUUUGUGACUGCAUGGCUAGAGUACGGUAGAGGGGGAUGGAAUUCCGCGUGUAGCAGUGAAAUGCGUAGAUAUGCGGAGGAACACCGAUGGCGAAGGCAAUCCCCUGGACCUGUACUGACGCUCAUGCACGAAAGCGUGGGGAGCAAACAGGAUUAGAUACCCGAGUAGUCCCUGUCUCUUAUAC